RNAcentral lists this ribosomal RNA (252 nucleotides) under uncultured bacterium. RNAcentral's name for it is "partial 16S ribosomal RNA". It matches the Rfam family "Bacterial small subunit ribosomal RNA", at positions 524 to 776 of the family's 1533-position model. The record is from RNAcentral.
UACGUAGGUCCCGAGCGUUGUCCGGAUUUAUUGGGCGUAAAGCGAGCGCAGGUGGUUUAUUAAGUCUGGUGUAAAAGGCAGUGGCUCAACCAUUGUAUGCAUUGGAAACUGGUAGACUUGAGUGCAGGAGAGGAGGGUGGAAUUCCAUGUGUAGCGGUGAAAUGCGUAGAUAUAUGGAGGAACACCGGUGGCGAAAGCGGCUCUCUGGCCUGUAACUGACACUGAGGCUCGAAAGCGUGGGGAGCAAACAGG